GACGAACCGUGCGAACGUUGUUCGGAAUCACUGGGCGUAAAGGGCGCGUAGGCGGCCGAUUAAGUCGGGGGUGAAAGCCUGUGGCUCAACCACAGAAUUGCCUUCGAUACUGAUUGGCUUGAGACCGGAAGAGGUCAGUGGAACUGCGAGUGUAGAGGUGAAAUUCGUAGAUAUUCGCAAGAACACCAGUGGCGAAGGCGGCUGACUGGUCCGGUUCUGACGCUGAGGCGCGAAAGCGUGGGGAGCAAACAGG
This 253-nucleotide ribosomal RNA is filed under the name uncultured bacterium. RNAcentral's name for it is "partial 16S ribosomal RNA". It matches the Rfam family "Bacterial small subunit ribosomal RNA", at positions 524 to 776 of the family's 1533-position model. The record is from RNAcentral.